CUACGGGUCGCAGCAGUGAGGAAAUUGCACAAUGGGGGGAACCCUGAUGCAGCAACGCCGCGUGGAGGAUGACGCAUUUCGGUGUGUAAACUCCUUUUAUAUGUCAAGAAAAUGACGGUAGCAUAUGAAUAAGCACCGGCUAACUCCGUGCCAGCAGCCGCGGUAAUACGGAGGGUGCAAGCGUUACUCGGAAUCACUGGGCGUAAAGGACGCGUAGGCGGGUUGGAAAGUCAGGUGUGAAAUCCUACAGCUUAACUGUAGAACUGCACUUGAAACUUCUAAUCUAGAGUAUGGGAGGGGGAGAUGGAAUUAGUGGUGUAGGGGUAAAAUACGUAGAUAUCACUAGGAAUACCUAAAGCGAAGGCGAUCUCCUGGAACAUUACUGACGCUAAGGCGUGAAAGCGUGGGGAGCAAACAGGAUUAGAUACCCGGGUAGUC
Molecule: ribosomal RNA, 438 nt
Filed under: uncultured bacterium
Lineage: Bacteria
Description: partial 16S ribosomal RNA
Rfam family: Bacterial small subunit ribosomal RNA
Source: RNAcentral